GAUGAACGCUGGCGGCGUGCCUAAUACAUGCAAGUCGAGCGAACAGACGAGGAGCUUGCUCCUCUGACGUUAGCGGCGGAAGGGUGAGUAACACGUGGAUAACCUACCUAUAAGACUGGGAUCACUUCGGGAAACCGGAGCUCAUACCGGAUAAUAUAUUGAACCGCAUGGCUCAAUAGUGAAAGACGGUUUUGCUGUUUCUUAUAGAUGGAUCCGCGCCGCAUUAGCUAGUUGGUAAGGUAACGGCUUACCAAGGCAACGAUGCGUAGCCGACCUGAGAGGGUGAUCGGCCACACUGGAACUGAGACACGGUCCAGACUCCUACGGGAGGCAGCAGUAGGGAAUCUUCCGCAAUGGGCGAAAGCCUGACGGAGCAAUGCCGCGUGAAUGAUGAAGGUCUUCGGAUCGUAAACCUCUGUUAUUAGGGAAGAACAAAUGUGUAAGUAACUAUGCACGUCUUGACGGUACCUAAUCAGAAAGCCACGGCUAACUACGUG
RNAcentral lists this ribosomal RNA (497 nucleotides) under uncultured bacterium. RNAcentral describes it as "partial 16S ribosomal RNA". It matches the Rfam family "Bacterial small subunit ribosomal RNA", at positions 28 to 507 of the family's 1533-position model. The record is from RNAcentral.